RNAcentral lists this ribosomal RNA (445 nucleotides) under uncultured bacterium. RNAcentral's name for it is "bacterial SSU rRNA". It matches the Rfam family "Bacterial small subunit ribosomal RNA", at positions 330 to 792 of the family's 1533-position model. The record is from RNAcentral.
ACCAGACUCCUACGGGAGGCAGCAGUGGGGGAUAUUGCACAAUGGGGGGAACCCUGAUGCAGCGACGCCGCGUGGGUGAAGAAGCGCCUCGGCGCGUAAAGCCCUGUCAGCAGGGAAGAAAAUGACGGUACCUGAAGAAGAAGCCCCGGCUAACUACGUGCCAGCAGCCGCGGUAAUACGUAGGGGGCAAGCGUUAUCCGGAUUUACUGGGUGUAAAGGGGGCGCAGACGGCGAUGCAAGCCAGGAGUGAAAGCCCGGGGCCCAACCCCGGGACUGCUCUUGGAACUGCGUGGCUGGAGUGCAGGAGGGGCAGGCGGAGUUCCUGGUGUAGCGGUGAAAUGCGUAGAUAUCAGGAGGAACACCGGUGGCGAAGGCGGCCUGCUGGACUGCAACUGACGUUGAGGCCCGAAAGCGUGGGGAGCAAACAGGAUUAGAUACCCCAGUA